GAUGAACGCUGGCGGCGUGCCUAAUACAUGCAAGUCGAGCGAACAGACGAGGAGCUUGCCCCUCUGACGUUAGCGGCGGACGGGUGAGUAACACGUGGAUAACCUACCUAUAAGACUGGGAUAACUUCGGGAAACCGGAGCUAAUACCGGAUAAUAUAUUGAACCGCAUGGUUCAAUAGUGAAAGACGGUUUUGCUGUCACUUAUAGAUGUAUCCGCGCCGCAUUAGCUAGUUGGUAAGGUAACGGCUUACCAAGGCAACGAUGCGUAGCCGACCUGAGAGGGUGAUCGGCCACACUGGAACUGAGACACGGUCCAGACUCCUACGGGAGGCAGCAGUAGGGAAUCUUCCGCAAUGGGCGAAAGCUUGACGGAGCAACGCCGCGUGAGUGAUGAAGGUCUUCGGAUCGUAAAACUCUGUUAUUAGGGAAGAACAAAUGUGUAAGUAACUAUGCACGUCUUGACGGUACCUAAUCAGAAAGCCACGGCUAACUACGUG
RNAcentral lists this ribosomal RNA (497 nucleotides) under uncultured bacterium. RNAcentral describes it as "partial 16S ribosomal RNA". It matches the Rfam family "Bacterial small subunit ribosomal RNA", at positions 28 to 507 of the family's 1533-position model. The record is from RNAcentral.